UUAAGCGACUAAGCGUACACGGUGGAUGCCCUGGCAGUCAGAGGCGAUGAAGGACGUGCUAAUCUGCGAAAAGCGUCGGUAAGGUGAUAUGAACCGUUAUAGCCGGCGAUGUCCGAAUGGGGAAACCCAGUGCAAUUCGUUGCACUAUCGUUAACUGAAUACAUAGGUUAACGAGGCGAACCGGGGGAACUGAAACAUCUAAGUACCCCGAGGAAAAGAAAUCAACCGAGAUUCCCCCAGUAGCGGCGAGCGAACGGGGAGCAGCCCAGAGUCUGAAUCAGCUUGUGUGUUAGUGGAACGGUCUGGAAAGUCCGACGGUACAGGGUGAUAGUCCCGUACACCAAAAUGCACAGGCUGUGAACUCGAAGAGUAGGGCGGGACACGUGGUAUCCUGUCUGAAUAUGGGGGGACCAUCCUCCAAGGCUAAAUACUCCUGACUGACCGAUAGUGAACCAGUACCGUGAGGGAAAGGCGAAAAGAACCCCGGCGAGGGGAGUGAAAAAGAACCUGAAACCGUGUACGUACAAGCAGUGGGAGCACCUUCGGGUGUGACUGCGUACCUUUUGUAUAAUGGGUCAGCGACUUAUAUUCUGUAGCAAGGUUAACCGUAUAGGGGAGCCGCAGGGAAACCGAGUCUUAACUGGGCGUUAAGUUGCAGGGUAUAGACCCGAAACCCGGUGAUCUAGCCAUGGGCAGGUUGAAGGUUGGGUAACACUAACUGGAGGACCGAACCGACUAAUGUUGAAAAAUUAGCGGAUGACUUGUGGCUGGGGGUGAAAGGCCAAUCAAACCGGGAGAUAGCUGGUUCUCCCCGAAAGCUAUUUAGGUAGCGCCUCGUGAAUUCAUCUUCGGGGGUAGAGCACUGUUUCGGCUAGGGGGUCAUCCCGACUUACCAACCCGAUGCAAACUACGAAUACCGAAGAAUGUUAUCACGGGAGACACACGGCGGGUGCUAACGUCCGUCGUGAAGAGGGAAACAACCCAGACCGCCAGCUAAGGUCCCAAAGUCAUGGUUAAGUGGGAAACGAUGUGGGAAGGCACAGACAGCCAGGAUGUUGGCUUAGAAGCAGCCAUCAUUUAAAGAAAGCGUAAUAGCUCACUGGUCGAGUCGGCCUGCGCGGAAGAUGUAACGGGGCUAAACCAUGCACCGAAGCUGCGGCAGCGACACUAUGUGUUGUUGGGUAGGGGAGCGUUCUGUAAGCCUGCGAAGGUGUGCUGUGAGGCAUGCUGGAGGUAUCAGAAGUGCGAAUGCUGACAUAAGUAACGAUAAAGCGGGUGAAAAGCCCGCUCGCCGGAAGACCAAGGGUUCCUGUCCAACGUUAAUCGGGGCAGGGUGAGUCGACCCCUAAGGCGAGGCCGAAAGGCGUAGUCGAUGGGAAACAGGUUAAUAUUCCUGUACUUGGUGUUACUGCGAAGGGGGGACGGAGAAGGCUAUGUUAGCCGGGCGACGGUUGUCCCGGUUUAAGCAUGUAGGCUGAUUGUCCAGGCAAAUCCGGAUAAUCAAGGCUGAGGUGUGAUGACGAGGCACUACGGUGCUGAAGUAACAAAUGCCCUGCUUCCAGGAAAAGCCUCUAAGCAUCAGGUAACAUUAAAUCGUACCCCAAACCGACACAGGUGGUCAGGUAGAGAAUACCAAGGCGCUUGAGAGAACUCGGGUGAAGGAACUAGGCAAAAUGGUGCCGUAACUUCGGGAGAAGGCACGCUGGUGUGUAGGUGAAGCCCCUGCGGGUGGAGCUGAGACCAGUCGAAGAUACCAGCUGGCUGCAACUGUUUAUUAAAAACACAGCACUGUGCAAACACGAAAGUGGACGUAUACGGUGUGACGCCUGCCCGGUGCCGGAAGGUUAAUUGAUGGGGUUAUCCGUAAGGAGAAGCUCUUGAUCGAAGCCCCGGUAAACGGCGGCCGUAACUAUAACGGUCCUAAGGUAGCGAAAUUCCUUGUCGGGUAAGUUCCGACCUGCACGAAUGGCGUAAUGAUGGCCAGGCUGUCUCCACCCGAGACUCAGUGAAAUUGAACUCGCUGUGAAGAUGCAGUGUACCCGCGGCAAGACGGAAAGACCCCGUGAACCUUUACUAUAGCUUGACACUGAACAUUGAGCCUUGAUGUGUAGGAUAGGUGGGAGGCUUUGAAGCGUGGACGCCAGUCUGCGUGGAGCCAACCUUGAAAUACCACCCUUUAAUGUUUGAUGUUCUAACGUUGGCCCCUGACCGGGGUUGCGGACAGUGUCUGGUGGGUAGUUUGACUGGGGCGGUCUCCUCCCAAAGCGUAACGGAGGAGCACGAAGGUUAGCUAAUCCUGGUCGGACAUCAGGAGGUUAGUGCAAUGGCAUAAGCUAGCUUGACUGCGAGCGUGACGGCGCGAGCAGGUGCGAAAGCAGGUCAUAGUGAUCCGGUGGUUCUGAAUGGAAGGGCCAUCGCUCAACGGAUAAAAGGUACUCCGGGGAUAACAGGCUGAUACCGCCCAAGAGUUCAUAUCGACGGCGGUGUUUGGCACCUCGAUGUCGGCUCAUCACAUCCUGGGGCUGAAGUAGGUCCCAAGGGUAUGGCUGUUCGCCAUUUAAAGUGGUACGCGAGCUGGGUUUAGAACGUCGUGAGACAGUUCGGUCCCUAUCUGCCGUGGGCGCUGGAGAAUUGAGGGGGGCUGCUCCUAGUACGAGAGGACCGGAGUGGACGCAUCACUGGUGUUCGGGUUGUCAUGCCAAUGGCACUGCCCGGUAGCUAAAUGCGGAAGAGAUAAGUGCUGAAAGCAUCUAAGCACGAAACUUGCCCCGAGAUGAGUUCUCCCUGAGACUUUAAGUCUCCUGAAGGAACGUUAAAGACGAUGACGUUGAUAGGCCGGGUGUGUAAGCGCAGCGAUGCGUUGAGCUAACCGGUACUAAUGAACCGUGAGGCUUAACCUU
RNAcentral lists this ribosomal RNA (2900 nucleotides) under Klebsiella pneumoniae. Its description in RNAcentral is "bacterial LSU rRNA". It matches the Rfam family "Bacterial large subunit ribosomal RNA". The record is from RNAcentral. Lineage: Bacteria; Pseudomonadati; Pseudomonadota; Gammaproteobacteria; Enterobacterales; Enterobacteriaceae. RNAcentral also lists the same sequence under 3 other names.